RNAcentral lists this ribosomal RNA (440 nucleotides) under uncultured bacterium. RNAcentral's name for it is "partial 16S ribosomal RNA". It matches the Rfam family "Bacterial small subunit ribosomal RNA", at positions 338 to 795 of the family's 1533-position model. The record is from RNAcentral.
CCUACGGUGGGCUGCAGUGGGGGAUAUUGCACAAUGGGGGAAACCCUGAUGCAGCGACGCCGCGUGUAGGAAGACGGUCCUCUGGAUUGUAAACUACUGUCCCCAGGGACGAAGAUGACGGUACCUGGGGAGGAAGCUCCGGCUAACUACGUGCCAGCAGCCGCGGUAAUACGUAGGGAGCGAGCGUUGUCCGGAAUUACUGGGUGUAAAGGGAGCGUAGGCGGGGAUGCAAGUUGGGUGUUAAAUCUACCGGCUCAACUGGUAGUCGAACUCAAAACUGCAGCUCUUGAGUGAAGUAGAGGCAGGCGGAAGUCCUAGUGUAGCGGUGAAAUGCGUAGAUAUUAGGAGGAACACCAGUGGCGAAGGCGGCCUGCUGGGCUUUUACUGACGCUGAGGCUCGAAAGUGUGGGGAGCAAACAGGAUUAGAUACCCGGGUAGUC